AUCUCUGGGCGGCUCACCUUGGAGUCAGCACAGCUUUUUACUCUGAACUUGCUGCCCAGGACCGGGGCCGCACUGAGGUCUGCAUUCAGGCACCUGUCACCAUGCUCUAUGCCCCUAUUCUUUUCAAAAGUGUCUUAUUUUUUAAAAGGAACUAAGAUACUUGGAACGGAAAAUCACCCAGCUGUUUUAAGCUCACCUUUCCCUCCUCCGGUGCUUGGGAGAAUUUCAGGUUUCAAACGUGGCUGAGCUACCUCAGGGCACAGUGACUAAGUACGUAGCGGAAACAAACAGCCUCCCAGCCUGAGAGGAUACUGAGUGUCACGGGCUCAGACCUUCCUUACUCCCUUAGUGAGCGGAUCCAAGCACAUCCUUCUAAUGCCAUCAGCUUGCAAAGCAUCUCCGAAUUUAUACCUCCCGCCCAGACCUUUCUCCCAAGAUCCAGAAGAAUGCAUUCAACUGAGUCCUUGGAGCAUAUUUUCAA
Long non-coding RNA from Eptesicus fuscus (big brown bat), 481 nucleotides. RefSeq lists it as uncharacterized. NCBI's taxonomy places the organism in Eukaryota, Metazoa, Chordata, Mammalia, Chiroptera, Vespertilionidae. The record is from RefSeq and is a predicted model, not a curated record. The transcript has 3 exons.